Molecule: ribosomal RNA, 444 nt
Filed under: uncultured bacterium
Lineage: Bacteria
Description: partial 16S ribosomal RNA
Rfam family: Bacterial small subunit ribosomal RNA
Source: RNAcentral
CUACGGGUUGCUGCAGUGGGGAAUAUUGCACAAUGGGCGCAAGCCUGAUGCAGCAACGCCGCGUGAGGGACGAAGGCCUUCGGGUUGUAAACCUCUUUUAGCAGGGAAGAAGCGAAAGUGACGGUACCUGCAGAAAAAGCACCGGCUAACUACGUGCCAGCAGCCGCGGUAAUACGUAGGGUGCAAGCGUUGUCCGGAAUUAUUGGGCGUAAAGAGCUCGUAGGCGGUUUGUCACGUCUGCUGUGAAAUUUCGAGGCUCAACCUCGAACUUGCAGGGGGUACGGGCAGGCUAGAGUGCGGUAGGGGAGAUGGGAAUUCCUGGUGUAGCGGUGGAAUGCGCAGAUAUCGGGAGGAACACCAAUGGCGAAGGCACAUCUCUGGGCCGUAACUGACGCUGAGGAGCGAAAGCGUGGGGAGCAAACAGGAUUAGAUACCCUUGUAGUC